UGUCCAGCUCCCCACCCCCACUGCUUUUCUUCCUUUUUGCCUUUUUCCUUCUUAAUUAAUCAUACGCUGCUGCCCAAUUUAAAUAUGGAAAUGCCCAGGCCGAGGCGAUGCAAUUAUUCAUGAGGGCCGGGCGGCUGUCCGGGGCUCUCGGGCUGUGGGGAGUACCGUGGCAUCGCCUCCGUUCUGAUGUGUGUGAAAUUAUGUGCACAAAAGGCGCCUCCUUAUCUGGGUGUGUGAACUAAAUAAAUAAAUAAGGGCUUUUGUUUGUUUGCCGGCUCCUGCACAUGGCUGCUGGGACUCAAGCGCUCGUGUUGUCUGCGCCUCUGUGGGACUCGGGAGACGGGAGGCAGGGGAGGCCCCCGCAGGCCGGCCAGGGGCUGGGGGCUGGGGGCCGGCCGCCGGGCACCUGGGGCCCUCUCCCUCCCCUGGCACCACCCUCACCCCGCAGCUCCCCCCCAUACACACCCUCGCUGGAAAGUUCGCCCUGCCCGGGCUGGGCUCCCAGGCAGCCUGGCACCGUGCCAGGCUCGCCGCCGAGCUCGGGCAGCAGGGUGGGGCAAACGCAGAGCACGGAGGACGGGGCCGGGCGACCUGGGCACCAGCACGACCCGAGGCCAGGAGCCAGGGGCCCAGAAGAUUGAGCUUCUAGAGCCUCAGAGAUGGAAUUCGCUGUUUUGCCACGAUUUGACGUUAAAUUAUUGACCCAUGGGAAGGAGGGUAACUUCCCCUGAAAAGAAGGCAGAGAUGUUUUGCUGUGCCCAGUGUGAGGAAGCGAAGGAAAAGAAAGAUCUUUUGAAAAUGUGUACAUCUACUUGCAGCUUAAAAAUUCCAAGUGCCAGACAUUUUUCUUAGAGGAAAUAAAUGUCUUCAAUUUAUUAAUCUUACCUGUUGAUUAUGUUCUGUAAUGUUUUAUUUUAUAAUUUAGUCCUUGUCUAGAUCCGAGGCCGUCUUUGGAAAGUAAAAGACCUAGGUCUCUUUGGUCCAGGAGACAUCGUGGCCCUCUGUUAAAAUCAUUGACUGCCGAGAUCUGGGCCCAGGCGGCUCUCGGACUGCACCGGUCUGUGCUAGGCAGCCUGGCCCCCUCGGCCUUCAAAAAACAAGGGAUGGGAGGGGAGACAUAUGCUCGGCUCACAUCGUUUUGUUUUGAUUUAUUUUAAACUGCCUAAGAUGAUUUUAGCACAAAGAGUGGUGUAUCUUACUUGCAUCUGAGAGCCACUGGAUUUUCAAGCUCGAGUAUAAUUUUUUUAAUCCAAAUUUAGAACUUGCCUUUUAGAGUAGACAGCAGCAUGCUAGUUUGCCUUUUAACUCACUUUUAAAGAAAGAUUCUCAAGAUCAAGUACAUUGAAUUUGGAGAUUGGUCCCCCUCCGUUAUUAGGGGCUGGAAAUGGCCCACUUUUCAAAAAUAAGGUCAGAAAAGGGGUGUUUCUGACCUAAGAGUUCUUCCAGGCUGGGCUGGUACCACAGAGAUUCUUCCACAGCCAUGUCCUGAGUCCUUGUCCUAUACACAAUUUUUUCUUCCAAGGAGGAGUGCGGCAUUCAGUUCCAAUGUCAUCGUGUGGAAGAGUCCCUGCCUGGCUGAGAAACUGUCACAGGCAGCCGGGCCACUUCCCAGCAUGACCCACAAGCCCGAUGGUGCCCCUCGAGUGGUUAAGGGACCCGUACAGAUACCAUUCUUCUAAAGCAAGCCAACGCAAUCUUCAUGAAUUGCAGUUCCACCCUGGCUGCUGGUACUAACUCUAAUGAUGGAAAAAAUUUAAAAGAUUGGGGACAACAGGAAACACAUUGGAUCCCCAAGGGAAACGGCCUGGAAGCUAAAGUACAGACACGGGUGACCCAAGGGCUCUGUUCAAGUCUUGGGGUUGUUCCCUUUAUUCCUCCAAGCCUCAGCUCCCCGGAUUUAAAGUGAGGACAGCACCCAGCCCAGCCCACUGUCAAGGGCUGUUGCAGGAAUAUGACAACAGCCACCAAUAUUUGCAUAGCAGAGAUGCCCAGUUUCAUUUUCUAUUUGAAAGUUUCUCUGAAGGGGGAUGUGCUGGAGACACGAGAACAACUGCUAUCAUCUUAAUAACUUUUCUGGCAAUACACGACGAUGAUUGUUUAUGUUAAUCUCAUAACUAUUAACAAUAAUUCAUUUCAUUCUCAUAAUGAAUUAUAUCUAUUUGACUUAUAAUAAAUAUAAUCAUAUCAGUAA
Long non-coding RNA from Nomascus leucogenys (northern white-cheeked gibbon), 2191 nucleotides. RefSeq lists it as uncharacterized. Lineage: Eukaryota; Metazoa; Chordata; Mammalia; Primates; Hylobatidae. The record is from RefSeq and is a predicted model, not a curated record.